UACGUAGGGCGCAAGCGUUGUCCGGAAUUAUUGGGCGUAAAGAGCUCGUAGGCGGCUUGUCACGUCGGUUGUGAAAGCCCGGGGCUUAACCCCCGGGUCUGCAGUCGAUACGGGCUAGCUAGAGUGUGGUAGGGGGAGAUCGGAAUUCCUGGUGUAGCGGUGAAAUGCGCAGAUAUCAGGAGGAACACCGGUGGCGAAGGCGGAUCUCUGGGCCAUUACUGACGCUGAGGAGCGAAAGCGUGGGGAGCGAACAGG
This 255-nucleotide ribosomal RNA is filed under the name uncultured bacterium. RNAcentral's name for it is "partial 16S ribosomal RNA". It matches the Rfam family "Bacterial small subunit ribosomal RNA", at positions 524 to 776 of the family's 1533-position model. The record is from RNAcentral.